Cryptomeria japonica (Japanese cedar) is the source of this 750-nucleotide long non-coding RNA. RefSeq lists it as uncharacterized. The transcript has 3 exons. NCBI's taxonomy places the organism in Eukaryota, Viridiplantae, Streptophyta, Pinopsida, Cupressales, Cupressaceae. The record is from RefSeq and is a predicted model, not a curated record.
UUGAAGUAAUUGUCCUUAUUUAAAAUAUUACAAAGUUUGAAUUUAAAUAGAAAUUAGUACUUAGCUUUUUAGACAAAUUCUCAUUGGUUAUUUUGUCUAUUACUUGUGGAUUAUUUGUACCGCUUUUAAAUUUAAUAAUGCAAUUUCCUUUUAUUGUUAUAAAUAUGUGUACAAGAAUUUACUUUUGCUAAGGCAGGCUUUUUGGUGUAUUCUCCUUAUUGAAGGCAAAAACACAUUAUUGGUGGCUUCACCCAACAUAUUAUUGUAUAUAGUUUGAUUGUUACGCUAAAUCAAGAUUAAAAUUGUUCUUUCAUAGACGGAGGACCUGGUACUAUAAAGGGGCACAUCUAUAAAAGGACUAUAAUUUUGCUAAGGAAGGCUUUUUGGUGUAUUCUCCUUAUUGAAGACAAAAACAAAAAUAAUGGUGGCUUCAUCAAGCAUAUUAUUGUAUAUAGUUUAAUUGUUAUGCUAAAUCCAUAUAAAAAUUAUGUUUCCAUGGAUGAAGGACCCGACACUAUAAAAAGGAUACAUCUAUAAAAGAUAUGUGUACUAGACUUUUUUUUGCGAAAGAAGGCUUUUUGGUGCAUUCUCCUUAUUGAAGACAAAAACAUAUUAUUGGUGGUUUCACCCAACAUAUUGUUGUAUAUAGUUUAAUUAUUAUGCUAAAUCAAGAUAAAAAUUGUGUUUCCAUAGAUGAAGGACCUGACACUAUAAAGGGAUACAUCUAUAAAAGGCGAGUUAUUUUUUUUC